Molecule: ribosomal RNA, 364 nt
Filed under: uncultured alga
Lineage: Eukaryota
Description: bacterial LSU rRNA
Rfam family: Bacterial large subunit ribosomal RNA
Source: RNAcentral
GCUUUACUGUAACUUGGAAUUGAGUUUGGGCUCUUCUUGCGCAGUAUAGGUGGGAGGCUAAGAAAAUAUGCUUGCGGCAUAUUUGAGCCAUCAUUGAGAUACCACUCUGGAAGGGUUGGAACUCUAACUUUGAGCCGUAAGCCGGCCAAAAGACAGUUUCUGGUGGGCAGUUUGACUGGCGGUCGCCUCCUAAAAAGUAACGGAGGCGCGCAAAGGUUCCCUCAGACUGGUCGGAAAUCAGUCGUAGAGUGUAAAGCAUAAGGGAGCUUAACUGCGAGACUUACAAGUCGAGCAGAGACGAAAGUCGGCCUUAGUGAUCCGGCGGUUCCAUGUGGAAGGGCCGUCGCUCAACGGAUAAAAGUUA